RNAcentral lists this ribosomal RNA (407 nucleotides) under uncultured bacterium. RNAcentral's name for it is "partial 16S ribosomal RNA". It matches the Rfam family "Bacterial small subunit ribosomal RNA", at positions 28 to 526 of the family's 1533-position model. The record is from RNAcentral.
GACGAACGCUGGCGGCGUGCCUAAUACAUGCAAGUCGAACGCAGUUGCGAACGGGAGAGUAACGCGUAGGUAACUGCCUGGUAGCGGGGGAUAACUAUGGGAAACGAUAGCUAAUACCGCAUACUACCAGAUGGACCUGCGUUGUAUUAGCUAGUUGGUGAGGUAACGGCUCACCAAGGCAACGGUACAUAGCCGACCUGGGGAGGUGGACGGCCCAACUGGGACUGGGACACGGCCCAGACUCCUACCGGAGGCAGCAGUAGGGAAACAUCGGCAAUGGGGGGAAACCUGACCGAGCAACGCCGCGGGAGUGAAAGAGGUUUUCGGAUCGUAAAGCUCUGUUGUUAAGGAAGCGGUACUUGACCAGAAAGCGCCGGCUAACUACGUGCCAGCAGCCGCGGUAAUAC